GCGGCUAUGGCGGAAUUGGCAGACGCGCUGGUUUUAGGGUCCAGUGUCCACGACGUGCAGGUUCAAGUCCUGUUAGCCGCACCA
This 84-nucleotide transfer RNA is filed under the name Subdoligranulum variabile. Its description in RNAcentral is "tRNA-Leu". It matches the Rfam family "tRNA". From Rfam's summary of the family: Transfer RNA (tRNA) molecules are approximately 80 nucleotides in length. Their secondary structure includes four short double-helical elements and three loops (D, anti-codon, and T loops). RNAcentral also lists the same sequence under 8 other names. The record is from RNAcentral. Lineage: Bacteria; Bacillati; Bacillota; Clostridia; Eubacteriales; Oscillospiraceae.